CCUACGGGCCGCAGCAGUAGGGAAUCUUCGGCAAUGGACGAAAGUCUGACCGAGCAACGCCGCGUGAGUGAAGAAGGUUUUCGGAUCGUAAAACUCUGUUGUUAGAGAAGAACAAGUAUGAGAGUAACUGCUCUUACCUUGACGGUAUCUAACCAGAAAGCCACGGCUAACUACGUGCCAGCAGCCGCGGUAAUACGUAGGUGGCAAGCGUUGUCCGGAAUUAUUGGGCGUAAAGCGCGCGCAGGCGGUUCCUUAAGUCUGAUGUGAAAGCCCACGGCUCAACCGUGGAGGGUCAUUGGAAACUGGGAGGCUUGAGUGCAGAAGAGAAGAGCGGAAUUCCACGUGUAGCGGUGAAAUGCGUAGAGAUGUGGAGGAACACCAGUGGCGAAGGCGGCUCUUUGGUCUGUAACUGACGCUGAGGCGCGAAAGCGUGGGGAGCGAACAGGAUUAGAUACCCGCGUAGUC
RNAcentral lists this ribosomal RNA (465 nucleotides) under uncultured bacterium. RNAcentral describes it as "bacterial SSU rRNA". It matches the Rfam family "Bacterial small subunit ribosomal RNA", at positions 338 to 795 of the family's 1533-position model. The record is from RNAcentral.